This 262-nucleotide long non-coding RNA is filed under the name Elaeis guineensis (African oil palm). RNAcentral's name for it is "long non-coding RNA (EGUI_LNC053307)". Lineage: Eukaryota; Viridiplantae; Streptophyta; Magnoliopsida; Arecales; Arecaceae. The record is from RNAcentral.
UCAUACUAAUUAAAUGUAGGAGGGGCUAGAAUUAAGGCACUCUUAAUUUUUCUCUUUUUUCUCUUUAUGGUUUCUCACACUAUCUUCUUGAAUGUUUACUCAAUGAGCUCCAUUUCUUUCAAAACUUAGUUUUCUUCAUGAAUUUCUCAUAUUUAUUGACUGAAAAAUAUCUUUAUUUAAUACUCUAGCCAUUUAAAACAAGAAAAUAGCUAUUUGGAUUGAUUUAGUCAUAUUUUUAAAUUUUUAAAAAACUAACCAUUAU